This 1107-nucleotide long non-coding RNA is filed under the name Equus asinus (donkey). Its description in RNAcentral is "lncRNA (ENSEASG00005036703.1)". Lineage: Eukaryota; Metazoa; Chordata; Mammalia; Perissodactyla; Equidae. The record is from RNAcentral.
CCGCAUCCCCGCACCGUCUGCUGAUCUCGGGCUGGGCGGGGCCCUCCCUGGGGGGUUCUAACACUAAUAAUAUUCCCUGCCAUGGCUUUCAGAGCUCUUCCAAGUCCAUUUUCUCAGAUCGACUUCUUUUCAUGCCUCCGUGCUGAGCCCGCUGCCGGGCGCCUUGGCUCCCAGCAAACUCCUACCCUUCAGGGUCCACUUGAAAUUGUUAGCAACUUCACCUCGCUGCCCUGGGGCUCCGACCCACACUCCGAGGAGCUCCGAGGAGGGGCCCCCGGGGGCCCCGUACACACAAUUCGUCCCUUCCGCCAAGGGCUCUUUCCCGUUCGGUAUCGAGGAUUUGGAAGGAAACCGAAGCUGGGUGUUCACCGGCGCGAGCUUUAUUCAAUGGCCAAGAAGGGAGAAGCGGGAGCCAAGUCCACGAAUGCGCUCCUCAGUUCUGAUUAAGCAGCUGCUAUGGGUUCAGGCCCGUUCCUCGCCCCUGGCCCAACAAACUUGGAUGCCUUCUUCGGGCCCCACAGAAACGUCUGCACACACCAUUUGAGGGCAAGAGCCGUGUUUGACCCAAGCCCCCUCCCCCGGUGCCUCCCACGCGCCCAGCUCAGAGGGAAGCCAGGAAGCAUCCAAAGCAUCAUAGUUAGAAGCCAGUCAAACAGAUGCCUCCUUCUCUCAUCAGACCCCAUCAGGGUGUUGGCCUUGGCCACGAGACGUCCUAGAGCGUCUUCCCAGCCUGUCUGGUCUGGUGUGGAUGGCCUUGACAUCCACAAUGAACGCGAGUGUGUUGCUGUCCUCUGUCUCCUUCGUGGCGGACUUGGUGGACGGGGAACUUGAAUGAUGGCAGAGUGGUCAAGCUUGCUUCUCCUGGGGGCGCUCUUCCAAGGAGGAUUGGGCCGCCUUCAGAGCCACAGUGUCUUGGUCCUCGGGAAGAUGAGAAAACCAAGACCAAGAGACAUUGGCUAAUUUCUCCAAGACACUGAGCCAGACAGCGGAGAAACUCGCCCACGUGUCUUCCUCUGGAAUGUGUGUUCUUUCCUCUCUUCCAGGCUGUCCUACUUUGCUCUUUAAAGAGUAAUUUUGUGACCCAAAUAAAUCUAAUUGGUGACAUUU